This is a non-coding RNA of Podarcis lilfordi (Lilford's wall lizard), 81 nucleotides long. NCBI's taxonomy places the organism in Eukaryota, Metazoa, Chordata, Lepidosauria, Squamata, Lacertidae. The record is from the annotation of a GenBank genome assembly.
AUAUAUAUAUAUAUAUGCACACACAGCCCUCAGAAGGGCUUAUACCUUCUGGGGUGUGUGUGUGUGUGUGUGUGUGUGUGU